GUGCUCACUUUGGCAGCACAUACAAUAAAACUGGAACAAUACAGAGAUCACACGACCCCUGUGCAAGGGUCACACGCACAUUUGUGAAGCAUCCCAUAUUUUU
Molecule: small nuclear RNA, 103 nt
Organism: Octodon degus (degu)
Lineage: Eukaryota; Metazoa; Chordata; Mammalia; Rodentia; Octodontidae
Source: Ensembl